AUCGGAAUCCAUUCAGAAAGUUCCUCUUCUUAGCUAAAGAAAAUUGAAAAAUGAAUAGAAACAGGAAUCACUAAGAGUAAAAUUUUGGAAUACAUUAUUGGAUCUGAUGGUUUCUGAGUUAGUACGUAGAGACGACGCCGUGUUUGAGGUUUUAUGUUCUGUUUUGAAUGGAUUGAUUUAGCAGAUGAAAAAUUCAGAUCUGAUUUUGUCCUGACCAACAUUAACCAAAUGCACAACGAAGAAACCAACAAAAAAUUACCAACUGCAAAUUUCAGAAUCUGAUUCAUACAUUCGCUCCGUGGAUUUGGAGAGUAACCGAAAUCCGGCACCUGUAAAAACAGAAUUUUAGAAUUUCGAAAUUGUAUUCAUACCAACUUUGCUUCUUUUUUCCCUGAUAUUUGCCAUUUACAGACCCCCACAAGUUUUCGUGGGUAAAAAUGAAUUUUAAAUACUAACUUUGAUUCUGUAAAUAAUUUCACAAUUAAUUUCGUAAUUCAAAGAACAAUUUAAAAAAAAAAGGGAGUACUGGUGAGCUGUGAAGCAAUAUUAGUUUUGUUGACACAUAAAAAUUCAGCCCAAAUCAAACAGCCCAAGGAAUAAAGUCCAAUUGGAGGAUCCCCAAAUUAGAUAGCCCAAAAAACGAAAUCCAAUCAAACGAAUCAAGGUAAAGGCCCAAAUAAGGGGCCCAAGAAUACGGUAACGCCUUCUUUUUUCACUCAUUUUUUUCCAACAGGAAAACAAAUUGAUUGGAACAACAUUUGGUUUUCACCUGGUGAUGGCCAUUGUGUUGAUUUUUGGACAUGUUCUGCUGAGGUGAGUCCCCAUCAGCUGCCACCACCACCAUAAUUAUCAAUAUACAAACCUCUUCUUUACUUAUUACUCUCAUUCAAAUUAACUAAUAUUAACGUGUGUAACAUUACAAACGCCAGAUAGGGUGAAAAGGAAAAGCAUUAAAAAAAUUUGGUCAAAAUUUGGUCUAUUUAUCAAAUAUUACCAAUCAGGUUUGAAGAUGCUUCCGGAUUGUUCUCCUUCACCCACUCAUCCACAGUUUCCUUCCAUUUCCUAAACAUCAAGAUGAAAUUAUAAGAAAUGAAGAGGAGAUUUAAUGCUAUAUGAUGAAAUAAAAUAUAAAACUUCAACCGCGUCAGUUAAUCUCGUAUAAAUGCAAAUACCUGACAAGCUCCUUCACCAAUCUGCGCACUUCAUUUGAAGGAUACUUCCGCAAUCCAUUGACAUACCUUCCUAUAUCAGUUUCCUGCUCCAUAUAUUCAAACCCAAAAAUGUAAUAAGAAUAAUGUCAAAAGAUUAAAUAAAUUAGCUGGAAAACUUAUCAUUUCCACCUUCAGCGCUUGGAAAGUAAUAUCCAUAUCUGCCAGAUUUUGCAGCAAUUCCACAACAUAUUCUUCACUCUACAUCCAAAAGAAAAAGAAAAACCAGAAAUGAAAUGUACAACAAACUAAAGCAGACCACAAGAAGCAAAUUUUCAAUAAAACAGAGAAUUCACCUGGUUAGGGUCUUCAAGCUGCUCUUUGAAUCUGAGAAUUUUAGUCUGCUCAUCGUCAAAUAGCCCCCCGUACGGAUCCAAAUCUUCUUCUUCCUCCUCUCCUCCAGUAGAAUUCCGAUUAUUUGACUCAGGAGUCAACGGGCUCUUACUAAAUUCCUCGUUUAUAAUAUCAUUACUAAAAAUGCUAUUUUUUUUGUUAUCGUUAGCAUAAUCGUUGUUAUUAUCGCUAUUGUUAUUAUGAGAAUAAUAGUGAUCUUGAACCUCGUCGUUGAUACUGCUAUUGCAGUUUUGGCAGAGCUGAUUACUGGAAGGGGAAGAAUAGAGCGACUCAACGAUUUUAUCUCUGCGAUGCUUCAAAUCUUCGGCGUAGUCAGAAAUGGCCACUUUGAUCGCCGUGUCAAUCAGCGCCCAAAUCCCCACUCGCGAUCUCGACAAAAUGGCCCGAAGCUCAUCGGAAUCCAUUCAGAAUGUUCCUCUUCUUAGCUAAAGAAAAUUGAAAAAUGAAUAGAAGCAGGAAUCACUAAGAGUAAAAUUUUGGAAUACAUUAUUGGAUCUGAUGGUUUCUGAGCUAGUACGCAGAGACGACGCCGUGUUUGAGGUUUUAUGUUCUGUUUUGAAUGGAUUGAUUUAGCAGAUGAAAAAUUCAGAUCUGAUUUUGUCCUGACCCGAAGACGACAACACAGAGGAUGAAGAUGGAAGGAAGGAGAACGGCUUUUGUUCUUCUUUUAUCUCUUCCAAUUUACAAAAAAGGCCAUAGAAUUAUGAGAUAUUUGCCAUUUACAGACCCCCACAAGUUUUCGUGGGUAAAAAUGAAUUUUAAAUACUAACUUUGAUUCUGUAAAUAAUUUCGUAAUUCAAAGAACAAUUUAAAAAAAAAAAAAAUGGAGUAUUGUUGAGCUGUGAAGCAAUAUUAGUUUGGUUGCUUUGCCCCUGUUUGAUUCUCAUUAAAUUACAUUUCAUUACAUUCUAUUUUUUUCUUUUCUAUUUUCAACCACACAAUUUUUCAUAAAAUAAUAUUACACGUAAAUUGAAAAUUUUUCCUUCUUUUUCAAUCACUAAGGCCCAAAUAAGGGGCCCAAGAAUACGGUAACGCCAUCGCCCAAAUUUGCAAGUCGCCCAGAAUCUGAACGAAUAGAGUGUCAUACGGUCGCCCAGAGCUGUUAUUCUACUCUCGCCCAAACCUUCAAGUCGCCCAAGGUAUCAACAAACAUAACGCAUCGUGGUUAUCAAGAAAUGCAGUUAUCAAGGCAGUUGUUGAAGUAGCCUUAUCACGUUCCACAACUCAAGGAAUUCAAUCGAAAGCGGUUGAACGAUGAAAGAUAAUGGCAGCAGUUAAAAGGCAGUUUCAUGACAAAAUGGCCACUACAAAGAAAGUGGGUAGUUAUAGGACGAUCAAACAGUUUUUAGAGUAGUUAAUCACAAAAAGAUCGUCUAUGAAGUAUAAAAGGGAGAAAGGACGUAGAAGCAAAGGAUCGAAUCAAAAAACUCUCGAACAGAGAAUAUGUAAUUUUCAUUUCCUUAGCUUUUAGACUUAAAUACUUUUCUUUCUGUAACUCGAGUGCUUGCGCCCCUUGAAGGCACGUUGUUUUUCAUUUCCAAUUGUAAAGUUCAUCGCCAAUAAAAGAACACCCCUUUUUGGGACUUUGUCUCAAGAGGUUUGUCCCUUACACAAUCGUCUGAUCCUUUUUAAUUGUUAGCGACUUAACCCGCGCGAAACAAUUUGGCACGCCCGGUGGGACAGUGGUGUUAGGUGUUGAAAGUACAAAAGAUGAAACAAUAUGUCUCAGAGAUCCGACAAGGAAGGAGCAAGUCAGGGAGUAAUCCAGUCUGUAAUCGAGCGAUAUGAGGAGCAGCAUGCCUCUCCACGAACAGAUGGACAAAAUCAGAGCAGUAACAGUCGUUACGAACCAAUGACGGAGUUGAGUCCUCGAACCAUGCGUGCAUUGCUUGGAGAACUCACGCAAGACGUCGUUGAACAGGUAAAUUUUCGAAGUAUUCAUAAUAUGGAAAGAUUUACACAAAAUGGAAAUGCACACUAUGACAAUAUGGCCAAACAGCUAAAGACGUUAAACGAAACAAUGAAUAAGUUAGUAGGCCAAAUAUGUCAACCGGCUAUACCUCUUACAAACCACUUUCAAACCAGGACAAUUGUGGGACAUAAUCCCUCUGUCCUAAAUCCGAAUCAAGGGGUAGAACCGCUUUCUGGUCCCUCUACUUCAAACCAAGGGGGUACUACAGUGCCAAAUCAAAACAAUGGUAGUGGCACGCCUAACUUGGGGGAUAAUCCAAACACGAGAGAUAAUGUCCUAGACAAUGGACAGAAUAUUCCACGUGGUAAUGAGGGAACAGAUGUCCAGGCUAAUGGUAGUGGCCCUAAUUAUGGUAACUUUGUUGCCAAUCAAGGACCAAACAUCAGACCUCGUGCAAAUCAAUCGGUUAAUCAGCCUGUAGGAAUUUCAUAUGAUCCCAAUGUCAUGUUGAGGAGCCAGAUUAUGAAAAUCGUACACGAUCAGAUGGCUUUUGGGGUGCGUCCUGUCAUUAGGCCGACGUACACAAAACCAUAUCCUGAUUGGGUAGACCAAGCAUAUCCAUGGCCUAGAGGGUACAAAGUGCCAGAAUUCUCACUGUUUACCGAUUUAGGAGAGGUGUCUACUCUAGAACACAUAGGGCGAUUCACGUUGCAAAGUGGUGAUGUAACCGAUUACCAUAAAAUGAGACUUUUCCCUAGUUCGUUAAUAGGAGUAGCUUUCUCAUGGUUCAUCAACUUGCCAGCGAACUCUGUUCAAACAUGGCAACAACUGGAAUAAUUGUUUCACGCUCAGUUUUAUAAAACUGAGUCUGAAGUCACUUUGGCUGAUUUGGCGAAUCUAUGUCAAAUGCCAAAUGAAUGGGCGGAAAGUUUUCUCCAAAGGUUCAAAACAGCAAGAAGCAAGUGUUUUGUACCUCUGCCCGAAAAAGAAUUUGUCAAGAUCGCACAAGGCUGUUUGAGCUUUGAUUUAAAAAAGAAGUUCCAGGACAAGGAAUUUCCUGACCUUUUCCAGUUGAGUGCGAAUGUGAUUAGGUAUGAACGACUGAUAAGAGAAGAAGAACAAAUGAAAAAUUCUAGUAAAGGGACUUAUUACAGAGACCCAAAUUUUGACGUUCAUACCAUCGAUGACGAAUCAUACGAUCAAGCCGAAAUGUGUUUGGCCGAAUUGGUAAAAGGGGAUACAUAUACUUGUCCCAUAAUGGCCAAGCCUAGACCAUCGGGCAAAGAUGAGUCCAUAAAGGAUGGAAACAUAAAGGCUAGAACGUUCUCGUUCGAUGUGACCAAAGCUGACCUUAUAUUCGAUAAAUUAUAUAGGGAUAAGCAAAUAAAGCUGAGCGAUAAGCACAAAUUGCCAAACCCUGAACAAAUAAAGGGUAAAAAAAUAUUGUAAGUGGCAUAAUGCAUGGUCACAUUUGACUAACAAUUGCUUGGUUUUCCGUCACGUAUUGCAGGAUGCUAUUGAAUCGGGACGAAUUACGUUCGAUGAUAAGAAAAAGAUGGCAGUGGACGAGAAUCCUUUCCCACAGCCACUUGGGGUAAACAUGGUAACGUCUGGAUUCAAGAACAAGUUGUCAAAAUUCAAGUUGGUCAUAGUUGACGGAGAAGAGGAUACUAAAACACAUCCCAGUGUCUUCGAACGAAUCAAAGGGAAAGAACCAAAAAAGGACGAAAACGUCAUGUGUGCAAGGUGUAAAAGGGAAGUAAAUGGAGACACGGAGAAACCAGGGACAUGGCAGCAUCCUCAUCGCCCUGCCUUCUUCCCAAACAUUCAGCCUGGUAGAGGGCGAGGUACAUCAUUCUAUAGAGGACCGCCUUUUGAAAGGCAGUUCAGACCAGCAGAUACUGGAAGAACAUUUAGGUCGCAACCUCGCCGGCCAAAUGUAUGGCAUUCAUUCCAGUACAGCGCAGGAAGGACAAUACCCUUCGAUGAGAUGACUAGGACCCAACAAAGGCGUUUCCAGCGAAACUAUGGACGGAUGAUGAGGCAGCAACAAGGAAUGCCACAUCCUAAAGCGCCUCUAAUACUCAAGGUAGCCAAUCAAAACGUCCUCAAAGGUAGUAAAGAAACUGAUACAGAUGAAUCAAUGAAGGAACUGCCAGAAACCUCUUCUGGGAGAUCAAGGUUUGAGAGGGACAAAAAGGAUGAAGAAGAUCCAGAUCAGCCCCUUGCUAUCCAAUUCGGUACGUUGCCUCCUGUCAUGGCCAAUAAUUACCUACUGGCCAAUAAAUUCAAGAAUAAGGAAAAGGAAGAAGAGAGGGAGGACAACGAAGGAGAAGCCUGCGUGCUGGUAUGUGAAGAAGGCCAGACUUCUGGAGAGGCCUACAACGAUGAAGAGGACGAUGGGAUGACAGACAUUGAAGAAGAAAUCGACCUAGAAGCAGAAAGGAAAAAGAGAGGAGUAUCGCGCAAUACUUUGUUUAAGCAACUACAUCAAGUGGGAGUCCACGAAGUAGACUUGUUGGGGGAGCCAUCCGGGCGUCCUUUCGAUUUCUACGUACUGUACGGGACACCCAAAAGGAAAAAGAGAGUGCCUCGCUCUGAGAAGUAUGGGUCACCUCCAAAAAUAAUGCCCCUCCCCACAGGUUGGAUAACUGAUGAGGAAGCAUUAGAAAAAAGUAAGAAGGAAAUUCAGGAGACAGAGGAUCAGCGUGACAUACUGCACGUCGACCUAUCACAACGGGAUAAUUCGACAGAAAACAAGCAAGAGGUAGAAAUAGAGGCUGCCGAAAAGGUUGUUUUUAAACGGCCAGCCAUGAAAUUGACAAAACACCUGAGGCCAUUAUACGUUAAAGCUCUAGUUAACGGCGUCCCAGUGGCAAAGGUGCUUGUCGAUAAUGGAGCGGUUAUAAACACCAUUCCAUCCAGGAUGAUGAGAAAGUUCGCAAAGACAGAGGGUGAUAUGAUUCCCAAUGUGCUCUUAGGAAGAGAUUGGAUACACGGAAGCCGCUGUAUACCCUCGUCGCUCCAUCAAUGCC
Molecule: long non-coding RNA, 6509 nt
Filed under: Olea europaea (common olive)
Lineage: Eukaryota; Viridiplantae; Streptophyta; Magnoliopsida; Lamiales; Oleaceae
Description: long non-coding RNA (OEUR_LNC007207)
Source: RNAcentral